GUGCAUUCUGACGAAGACAACAAAAGGUAAUCAAACUUUUAUAAUAGUAAAUCUGAUUUUGGUGAAGGCUAAACUUGCCAGGUGUCUAAAUAGCUAGCCCGUGAUGGCUGGGCUAUGUACUUAGAAUAUUGCAAAAUGUGCUUUCACCAAAAAGCUAUUUUAAAAUCGGACAUAUCGAGUGCAUAGAGGAGUUCUGUAUCUAUAAUUUUUAAAAUAAUUGUUAUGCUUUUUGUGAACGUUUAUCGUGAGUAAUUUAGUAAAUUGUUAGUAAAUUCCCCGGAAGUUUGCGGGGGGUAUGCUAGUUCUGAACGUCACAUGCUAAUGUAAAAAGCUGUUUUUUGAUAUAAAUAUGAACUUGAUUGAACAAAACAUGCAUGUAUUGUAUAACAUAAUGUCCUAGGAUUGUCAUCUGAUGAAGAUCAUCAAAGGUUAGUGCUGCAUUUAGCUGUCUUCUGGGUUUUUGUGACAUUAUAUGCUAGCUUGAAAAAUGGGUGUCUGAUUAUUUCUGGCUGGGUACUCUGCUGACAUAAUCUAAUGUUUUGCUUUCAUUCUAAAGCCUUUUUGAAAUCGGACAGUGUGGUUAGUGCUGCAUUUAGCUGUCUUCUGGGUUUUUGUGACAUUAUAUGCUAGCUUGAAAAAUGGGUGUCUGAUUAUUUCUGGCUUGGUACUCUGCUGACAUAAUCUAAUGUUUUGCUUUCGCUGUAAGCCUUUUUGAAAUCGGACAGUGUGGUUAGAUAAAGGAGAGUCUUGUCUUUAAAAUGCUGUGAAAUAGUCAUAUGUUUGAAAAUUUUAAGUUUUUGUAUUUUUGAGGAAUUUGUCAUUCGCGCCACGCCUAUCAUUGGAUAUUGGAGCAGGUGUUCCGCUAGCGGAACGUCUAGAUGUAAGAGGUUAAUGAAGUGGCGGUAGAAGUUGGCAAACCACAGAAACAUUUGAAGGCCCUUUAUGGUGGUUGGGACUGGCCAUGACCUGACUGCUUCGACCUUCCUUUUAUCCAUACUCACCUCCUGCAGGCUGAUUCGGUAUCCCAAGAAGGAGACAUCGACCUGAUGGAACUGGCACUUUAACAUAAAAGCGGUUAUCCAGGAGGCGUCUCAGGACUAUUCGGACGUGAGCGAUGUGAACCUCCAAGGUGGCUGAGUAGACCAGGAUAUUGUUGAUAUGAAUGACCACCUGGAGCCCGAUCAUGUCCCAGAUCACCUCAUUCACGAAUGUCUGAAACACUGACGAUGCAUUGGCUAGUCAAUAAGGCAUCACCAAGUAUUCGUAGUGCCCAGACAUCGUGCUGAUGGCCCUUUAACACUCAUCCCCUUCUCAGAUGCGGAUAAGAUUGUAGGCUCUCCGCAGGUCCAGUUUCGUAAAAAAACGGGCCCUCCAGAACUGUUCGAUGGCGACCAGUACCAACGGGAAACGGUAGCGGUACUUAGUGGUGAUAGA
RNAcentral lists this long non-coding RNA (1434 nucleotides) under Salmo salar (Atlantic salmon). RNAcentral describes it as "lncRNA (ENSSSAG00000111864.1)". The record is from RNAcentral. Lineage: Eukaryota; Metazoa; Chordata; Actinopteri; Salmoniformes; Salmonidae.